RNAcentral lists this long non-coding RNA (1692 nucleotides) under Salvia miltiorrhiza (redroot sage). Its description in RNAcentral is "long non-coding RNA (SMIL_LNC005696)". Lineage: Eukaryota; Viridiplantae; Streptophyta; Magnoliopsida; Lamiales; Lamiaceae. The record is from RNAcentral.
UCAAUUUCAAAUCCCAAGCAAUAUAGAAAAAACACGCACUGUAUAAAACGAACCAAAGAAAAUAAUCAAUCAUCUCUGCCCAAACACAAUCACACACCACAAUCACCGCACCUCCUCCGCCACCGCUGCAGCCGCCGUCGCCGCUCCGGGUCGCAUUCCUCCGGCGGGGUCAGAUUUCAAACUUCCAUCCCCUCGGCGAAUUUUCCAUCCGCGGCGAUGCCGGCCUCCGUGGCUUCGAGUAAUUCCAGCCGCCCGGAGGACUUGAUCGGAAGGCUGAGCUUACCGCAGGCACCAUACGAGGCUAAGCUGAAAGCUCUGAGGGACUUGAAGAACCAGAUAAUUGGAAAUCGCACAAAAAAGCUGGCCUUCCUGAAGCUCGGCGCCGUGCCUUCUAUUGUCGCUAUUCUGGCCUCCUCUGCCACCGCCUCAGGCGGCGGAGGGGACUGCCGUGACUUCCAUGAGUCGUUUUUGAUCCAGUCCGCAGCGGCUAUCGGGAGCUUUGCAUGCGGAUUGGAUACUGGAGUUAAGGCUGUGCUGGAUGCCGGGGCUUUUCCCAUUUUGUUCAGUCUUAUUUCCCAUCCAAAUCAGAAAGUAUACUUCUUUACUUGAUUCUUCUGGAAUUCAUGAACUUGUAGUUCUGCGCUAUAUNUAGUAACUCAGGUAGCUUAGUUUUUUUGCUGUCCAAAAUAAAAUAAAAAAUUACAUUCUCCCAUCUCCAUUUUGAAUAAAAAAAUAAAAGAAGAGAAGGAAAAAAAAUUAUUAGCUCAUAAAUGCAUUAAUUUUGGAUCAAUUUUGAUUUUUCAAUAUAGAAUUUUUAAAAAAGUGUAAAAAAUACAUCAAUUUAUUAAUUAUAGUAAUUUUGACGUGAAUUCAAGUUUUAUUCAAAUUGAACUGAUGUGGCACGUCAGAAUGUCGAUUGUGGAAAAAUCAGACGUUUAUAAAAAACAAAUACGUCAUCUCAGCGUCGUCAUUUCUUUAAAAUAAUAUUUUCCUGUUCAAAUUGAACAAAUAUCAAAAUUGAGAUGUCGACAUUAGGAGAGUUUCGUUCUAUUUGCUGCUAAUGUCAUUAGAAAGACGAAAUUUUAGUGUUAUGUUUGAGUUUAAUUCAUAUCAUUAAUUUUAAAAUUAAUUUCAAAAUUAAUUCAUUCAAAUUUUCAAUUAAUUAUCAAAAUUAGCUUUAAUUUAAUCAGAAAUAAAUUCAUGUAAAAUUUGCUGAGAUUAAUAAAUUAAUGUAUUUUUUAAUAUCUAUUAAAAUUUAUAUAAAUAAUCAGAAUUAAUUUAAAAUUAAUGUAUUUAUUUAUGCACUAAUUAGUAAUUACCCAGAUAAAAAUGAGAGAAUAAAAUAAAUCGGUUGUACGGUAAUUUACAGUCUUCCACUCAAUUUCAAAUCCCAAGCAAAAGCAAUAUAGAAAAAACACGCACUGUAUAAAACGAACCAAAGAAAAUAAUCAAUCAUCUCUGCCCAAACACAAUCACACACCACAAUCACCGCACCUCCUCCGCCACCGCUGCAGCCGCCGUCGCCGCUCCGGGUCGCAUUCCUCCGGCGGGGUCAGAUUUCAAACUUCCAUCCCCUCGGCGAAUUUUCCAUCCGCGGCGAUGCCGGCCUCCGUGGCUUCGAGUAAUUCCAGCCGCCCGGAGGACUUGAUCGGAAGGCUGAGCUUACCGCAGGCACCAUACGAGGCUAAGCUG